AAGGAGAAAUCGAGGAAAUAUUUAAAAUAACAUGGAUGAAAUUAAUGGGAACUUUGGGAAGUUAUGAUGAUGACAUAACAUUGUCAUUGACCAUAGUAGGAAUAACUCAUGGAGGAACCAUGUGGAGACGGCUUGACUUUGGAGUUUAGCACAAGGCGUGUACAUAGACAGCUAUCUAAAGCUUGAAGCAAAUGAUGGGACCUGCACCUCAGUCCACUCGAUGCUGAGUUAGCUGCUGGGAUGGUAAUGCUGAACGACAGCCCAAAGCUUGUGUCAAUGAAUCAUGCAUGAUCUCUCCGGGAACCAUGGUUCAUCCACCCUUGUACCGCCAGCAUUUCCAUGAGAAGCCACAGUAUGAUCUGGAGCAGUGCUUCACUGAGCCAGUGAGGAAGAGUAAUACUACUGCCUGGAGGAGAUUGCACCUCAUACCUGGGCGUUUCAAGUAAUCCUCUAUGUAAAGUAGAUGUCUCAAACUGAUUUUUGAUGUCGUGUGCUUCAAAAUUCCUCGGGUAUCUAAUUCCUGUGGUUGAGUAAUCAGAUCUUGCUGGAUUGCUGCCAAGAUGAUGAUUCACAGGAGUUCUUCCCACAGGAAUGCUCCCACGAGUGUUCUCAUUAUGAAUGAAUAAUCCUCUGGGGGAAAAUGUUGUUUCUGCUCUCUCUGUUUGAAGGCCUGACGGUAAACUAAUGUUUCCAGAAUAACAAACAUGUGUUGCAGAUCUCGGCAUAAAAGGAGAUGGUGAGAGAGCUGGUGCAGAAUAUGGUCUUGUUGGCUGAGAAGGUGUAUCAUCAAGAAGCUUUUUAUGUUCUCUACUCCAUUGUUCAGCCAAGUCUUUUGCCACCCUUGAUCUCAAGAAGCAAAGGAUUGGAUCUUUUAUGAUGGCAUUCCAAUUGUUUAAUCCAUGUCUUCUCACUCCAAUCCAAAGAAAAUCCAACUCUGGUUCUGACCAUGGAGCUAAAAUCCUCCUGGGCUUAUCCGAUAAUGUACUAUGCCAUGCAUGCGUAGCAUCAUUAAACAUC
This is a long non-coding RNA of Musa acuminata AAA Group (dessert banana), 1017 nucleotides long. RefSeq lists it as uncharacterized. Lineage: Eukaryota; Viridiplantae; Streptophyta; Magnoliopsida; Zingiberales; Musaceae. The transcript has 4 exons. The record is from RefSeq and is a predicted model, not a curated record.